GUUAGACCAUUUGUAACAGGACUCGGUUAGUCCGGUAUAUUUGCGGGAUAUCCUGCGUUCGUAGAUAGAACGGCUAAUAAUGGCUGUGGAGUCAGGUCAACGACAAUGAGCUCGACUGGGUGUGAGCAACGAUUAGAACACACUUACCGGGUCUAAUCUGACCAAAUAGUCCUAUGGGAAACCGCAAGCUUUAAGUAGCUGUCAUAGAGUUGUCGGCUCCACGUGAUUUACGUUCUUCCAUGAUGUAUUUCAAACGAGGAAAACUGAUACUUUCUUUAGAAAAAUUAUCUGUA
This 293-nucleotide unclassified non-coding RNA is filed under the name Bombus terrestris (buff-tailed bumblebee). Its description in RNAcentral is "misc RNA ENSBTSG00005037271.1". Lineage: Eukaryota; Metazoa; Arthropoda; Insecta; Hymenoptera; Apidae. The record is from RNAcentral.